UACGUAGGUGGCAAGCGUUUCCGGAUUUACUGGGUGUAAAGGGCGUGUAGGCGGGGAUGCAAGUCAGAUGUGAAAUCCCGCGGCUCAACCGCGGAACUGCAUCUGAAACUGCGUCUCUUGAGUGUCGGAAGGGAAAGUGGAAUUCCUAGUGUAGCGGUGAAAUGCGUAGAUAUUAGGAGGAACACCGGUGGCGAAGGCGACUUUCUGGACGAUAACUGACGCUGAGACGCGAAAGCGUGGGGAGGCAAACAGGAUUAGAUACCCUGGUA
This 269-nucleotide ribosomal RNA is filed under the name uncultured prokaryote. RNAcentral describes it as "partial 16S ribosomal RNA". It matches the Rfam family "Bacterial small subunit ribosomal RNA", at positions 524 to 792 of the family's 1533-position model. The record is from RNAcentral.